Molecule: ribosomal RNA, 505 nt
Filed under: uncultured Campylobacterota bacterium
Lineage: Bacteria; Pseudomonadati; Campylobacterota
Description: bacterial SSU rRNA
Rfam family: Bacterial small subunit ribosomal RNA
Source: RNAcentral
AGAGUUUGAUCCUGGCUCAGGACGAACGCUGGCGGCGUGCUUAACACAUGCAAGUCGAACGAGAACGGGUCUUAGCUUGCUAAGAUUGACAGCUAAGUGGCGCACGGGUGAGUAAUAUAUAGGUAACGUGCCUUCGAGAAGGGGAUAACGUUUGGAAACGAACGCUAAUACCCUAUAUGCCUUUAAGUCUUAAGACUGCAAGGGAAAUAUUUAUAGCUCGAAGAUCGGCCUGUACAGUAUCAGUUAGUUGGUGAGGUAAUGGCUCACCAAGACAAUGACGCUUAACUGGUUUGAGAGGAUGAUCAGUCACACUGGAACUGAGACACGGUCCAGACUCCUACGGGAGGCAGCAGUGGGGAAUAUUGCACAAUGGACGGAAGUCUGAUGUAGCAACGCCGCGUGGAGGAUGACACAUUUCGGUGCGUAAACUCCUUUUAUAUAGGAAGAUAAUGACGGUACUAUAUGAAUAAGCACCGGCUAACUCCGUGCCAGCAGCCGCGGUAAU